RNAcentral lists this ribosomal RNA (449 nucleotides) under uncultured bacterium. Its description in RNAcentral is "bacterial SSU rRNA". It matches the Rfam family "Bacterial small subunit ribosomal RNA", at positions 354 to 796 of the family's 1533-position model. The record is from RNAcentral.
GUGGGGAAUAUUGGACAAUGGGCGAAAGCCUGAUCCAGCCAUGCCGCGUGUGUGAAGAAGGUCUUCGGAUUGUAAAGCACUUUAAGUUGGGAGGAAGGGCAGUAAGUUAAUACCUUGCUGUUUUGACGUUACCGACAGAAUAAGCACCGGCUAACUUCGUGCCAGCAGCCGCGGUAAUACGAAGGGUGCAAGCGUUAAUCGGAAUUACUGGGCGUAAAGCGCGCGUAGGUGGUUCAGCAAGUUGGAGGUGAAAUCCCCGGGCUCAACCUGGGAACUGCCACCAAAACUACUGGGCUAGAGUACGGUAGAGGGUAGUGGAAUUCCUGUGUAGCGGUGAAAUGCGUAGAUAUAGGAAGGAACACCAGUGGCGAAGGCGACUACCUGGACUGAUACUGACACUGAGGUGCGAAAGCGUGGGGAGCAAACAGGAUUAGAAACCCCGGUAGUCC